GAUGAACGCUGGCGGCGUGCUUAACACAUGCAAGUCGAACGGAAAGGCCCAAGCUUGCUUGGGUACUCGAGUGGCGAACGGGUGAGUAACACGUGGGUGAUCUGCCCUGCACUUCGGGAUAAGCCUGGGAAACUGGGUCUAAUACCGGAUAGGCCGAUGGUUUGGAUGCCUUUGUGGAAAGUUUUUUCGGUGUGGGAUGAGCUCGCGGCCUAUCAGCUUGUUGGUGGGGUAAUGGCCUACCAAGGCGUCGACGGGUAGCCGGCCUGAGAGGGUGUACGGCCACAUUGGGACUGAGAUACGGCCCAGACUCCCACGGGAGGCAGCAGUGGGGAAUAUUGCACAAUGGGCGCAAGCCUGAUGCAGCGACGCCGCGUGGGGGAUGACGGCCUUCGGGUUGUAAACUCCUUUCGCUAGGGACGAAGCGUUUUUGUGACGGUACCUGGAGAAGAAGCACCGGCUAACUACGUG
Molecule: ribosomal RNA, 468 nt
Filed under: uncultured bacterium
Lineage: Bacteria
Description: partial 16S ribosomal RNA
Rfam family: Bacterial small subunit ribosomal RNA
Source: RNAcentral